UCCCUGGUAGCUCAUCGGUAAAGAAUCUGCCUGCAAUGCAGGAGGCCCUGGUUCGAUUCCUGGGUUGGGAA
Transfer RNA from Ovis aries (sheep), 71 nucleotides. It matches the Rfam family "tRNA". Rfam says of the family: Transfer RNA (tRNA) molecules are approximately 80 nucleotides in length. The record is from Rfam. Lineage: Eukaryota; Metazoa; Chordata; Mammalia; Artiodactyla; Bovidae.